RNAcentral lists this long non-coding RNA (663 nucleotides) under Salvia miltiorrhiza (redroot sage). Its description in RNAcentral is "long non-coding RNA (SMIL_LNC004636)". Lineage: Eukaryota; Viridiplantae; Streptophyta; Magnoliopsida; Lamiales; Lamiaceae. The record is from RNAcentral.
CUUGCUAAUUAGUUCUAACACUAGCAAUGGCACUCACUAGGAAUUUGAUUCUCCUCGUUUCUACUACUAUUUGCAUCUUCGCUUCCACUUCCAAAUACGGUAUAUACAUAAAAAAGAGAUUCAAUUCAACCCUUAUUUAAUUUUUAUUUAUAUUUUUUCAGUGCAAAUUAUCAUAAUUUUUCCGACAGGGAGAGCGUACGACGGGGAUCGUCUAGGCGCGGCGGAAGUGAUAGCGGACGACUUCGUGCCGGAAGCGGGAGCCGAGGAAGGAGAGGGAGAAGACGAAGGCCAUGAUCACCCCGAUCAAGUCUUCAUGGAAGCCCUAGAAUGCUUCAACGACAGAAACGUAAGUCCUAAUUAAUUAAUUAACCUCAUAAUCUAAUUGAUGAAAGCAUUAAAUAUUCUUUAAUUUAUUAAACUUAAUAGUAAUAUCUAUAUCUAUAGGUAAGGGAUAAAGUGAAAACUCUAUCUUUCGGUGAAAACUAAAUCCUAUGAACAAACACAUACAUACGUGAACAAGAGAUAGUCAAAUCGUGAACAGGAUUCGACCAUCUCUUGUUCAUGUUUUUUAUGUAUUACAAUUGUUCACAACUUGAUUAUCUCUUGUUCACGUAUUUUAUGUGUUUGUUCAUAGGAUCUAGUUUUCACCGUAAGAUAGAGUUU